Molecule: ribosomal RNA, 433 nt
Filed under: uncultured bacterium
Lineage: Bacteria
Description: partial 16S ribosomal RNA
Rfam family: Bacterial small subunit ribosomal RNA
Source: RNAcentral
AACGAACGCUGGCGGCAUGCCUAACACAUGCAAGUCGAACGAGACCUUCGUGUCUAGUUGCGCACGGGUGCGUAACGCGGGGGAACCUUCCCGUAGGUUCGGGAUAACUCCCCGUAAGGGGUGCUAAUACCGGAUAAUGUCCUCUGACCAAAGAUUUGUCGACUUUGGAUGGGCCCGAGUUGUUUUAGCUAGGUGGUAGGGUAAAAGCCUAUCAAGGCGUCGAUCCUUAGCUGGGCUGAGAGGAUGAUCGGCCACACUGGGACUGAGGCACGGUCCAGACUCCUACGGGAGGCAGCAGUGGCGAAUACUGGACAAUGGGCGAAAGCCUGAUCCAGCUAUGCCGCGAGAGUCAUGAAGGCGUUAGGGUUGUACAGCUCUUUUACACGGGAUGGUACUGACAGUACCGGGAGAAUAAGCACCGGCUAACUCCGUG